RNAcentral lists this ribosomal RNA (440 nucleotides) under uncultured bacterium. RNAcentral's name for it is "partial 16S ribosomal RNA". It matches the Rfam family "Bacterial small subunit ribosomal RNA", at positions 338 to 795 of the family's 1533-position model. The record is from RNAcentral.
CCUACGGGAGGCAGCAGUAGGGAAUUUUGCGCAAUGGGGGAAACCCUGACGCAGCAACACCGCGUGAAUGUUAAGCUCUUCGGGGUGUAAAGUUCUGUCAAGAGGGACGAAUUUUGACUGCACUUAUAAAGGAAGCACCGGCUAACUCCGUGCCAGCAGCCGCGGGAAUACGGGGGGUGCAAGCGUCGUCCGGAAUCAUUGGGCGUAAAGCGUUCGUAGGCGGUAAUGCAAGUCUGAUGUUAAAGCCCGGGGCUCAACUCCGGGACGGCAUUGGAUACUGGCCAACUAGAAUGUGGGAGAGGUAAAGGGAAUUCCUGGUGUAGCGGUGAAAUGCGUAGAUAUCAGGAGGAACAUCAGUGGCGAAAGCGCUUUACUGGACCAUUAUUGACGCUGAGGAACGAAAGCCAGGGGAGCAAAUGGGAUUAGAUACCCGAGUAGUC